GAAAUGCGAUAAGUAAUGUGAAUUGCAGAAUUCAGUGAAUCAUCGAGUCUUUGAACGCACCUUGCGCUCCUUGGUAUUCCUUGAAGCAUGCCUGUUUGAGUAUCAUGAAAUCUUCAAAGUAAAUCUUUUGUUAACUCAAUUGGUUUCUACUUUGGUAUUGGAGGUCUUUGCAGCUUCACACCUGCUCCUCUUUGUUCAUUAGCUGGAUCUCAGUGUUAUGCUUGGUUCCACUCGGCGUGAUAAGUUAUCUAUCGCUGAGGACACUGUAAAAGGUGGCCAAGGUAAAUGCAGAUGAACCGCUUCUAAUAGUCCAUUGACUUGGACAAUACUUUUAUGAUCUGAUCUCAAAUCAGGUAGGACUACCCGCUGAACUUAAGC
This 378-nucleotide unclassified non-coding RNA is filed under the name plant metagenome. Its description in RNAcentral is "partial contains 5.8S ribosomal RNA, internal transcribed spacer 2, and large subunit ribosomal RNA". The stretch from base 1 to 105 matches the Rfam family "5.8S ribosomal RNA", at positions 50 to 154 of the family's 154-position model. The record is from RNAcentral.